Long non-coding RNA from Mustela erminea (ermine), 767 nucleotides. RefSeq lists it as uncharacterized. Lineage: Eukaryota; Metazoa; Chordata; Mammalia; Carnivora; Mustelidae. The transcript has 3 exons. The record is from RefSeq and is a predicted model, not a curated record.
AUGGGGUCAGAUAACCUCAGCUUUUAAUACAAAGCCUGGAGUUUUAUCUCUUAAUCCUUUCUCUGGGUCACCUACUGUUACACUUCCUGUGGGAUAAUGGAAAAGGCAUGCUUUGCUGUUAUUAUUGGUGUACGUGUUCCUUAAUGAUUUAAAAAAUCCCUGGCAUUUGGAAAUGUUACCGUUCAGAAUACAGUCAGCUUCCUGGUCCCACGGAGUCUCAGUGACUAUCAGAUGAGGAAACUCCCUUUCAGCAUUGCCUUGAAGAAGAGAGAUAAGACACUUGAAAUACUUUAUGUGAUACUUCAUGAUUGCUCAAGAAAUGGAAAUGAUGGGGAUUAUUGAUGAAGAUCUUGCAAAUCCAAGAAAUGACAAUUCUCAGAUGCAGCCCUGCAGGGGAGUGGUAAAGGCAUUGGAGUUGGCAUGGGAGGAAGGUUCACAAGACUCAAGGCAUGGAGUUGAACUGGCUUUAUGUACACAGCCCUCUGUGCGCCCUGGCUCUGGGAUCUGACGGGCUUGAAUCGUGGCCGCACCCCUCAACAGAUGGGUGGCCUCAAGGACGUCCUUGACCCCUGUUCACUUGGGGUUUCUCAUCUAGCAGGAGGGGGUUACAUGACAAAUGUCCUGUGCCCAUCUGGAGCCUGACCCACGGCAGCUGCAAGAUGCCACUGCCACCACCCCUCCCACCCCGCCCUCCCCCGCCCCGACAGUGACCCUGCGGUCAGAAGAAUCUGGACUGGACAGUUUUUCCAUCUUUGCAACUCCGUAAA